UACUAUACUGCGUUAGGGAUAGUAGCGAAAAUCCCGCAAGCUGAACCAUCAGCUGAGGAAUUGUAGCGUAUAGCCCGACCGCGG
This 84-nucleotide small RNA is filed under the name Aquimarina brevivitae. RNAcentral's name for it is "Flavo-1 RNA". The record is from RNAcentral. Lineage: Bacteria; Pseudomonadati; Bacteroidota; Flavobacteriia; Flavobacteriales; Flavobacteriaceae.